RNAcentral lists this long non-coding RNA (2196 nucleotides) under Eucalyptus grandis. RNAcentral's name for it is "long non-coding RNA (EGRA_LNC006322)". The record is from RNAcentral. Lineage: Eukaryota; Viridiplantae; Streptophyta; Magnoliopsida; Myrtales; Myrtaceae.
AUGGCAACGAGCCAGCGCGACGAUCUCCCGCGCCUUUCUCUGUUCCCCCACGCGGCUUCCCACCUUCGCAUUUCGUGAGCUCGAAGCUUUUCGCGCUGUUCGUAACAGAAAUCUCUCUCGGCUUCAGUCAACGUCUCUGGUUUUUGGAUCAGACGGCGAAAGGAGCGCGUUCACUUAGUGGGUUGCGUUAGCGGAGUGAAUUAUACAGAUAGAGACCAAAACAUUCGUGUUCAAAGGAGCCAUGUUCAACAGUUCAAUGCCUGCUCAUAAAGUGCGAAAUAUAUGGGAACAAAACUUUUGCCCAAUGGUUGCGAAAAAUAAGACUGUCACCAAUAUCGGGUUGGACCGAUUUAGAAGUUUUUAACAAUUAUCAAAAGGUUCUUAUUUGAAUGUCCUACUGAAGUUAAACAUCUAAAUUUUAUCAUAAAAAAUUGCGAAAUAAUCUCACACGAUCAAUAUUAAGAUGAAGAAUUUGAUUUACAUGGUUUAUAAAUUAUAUUUUAUAUUAUCUCCGUCUAUACAUGUUUAGUUUUAAAGCAUUAAAAACUACAAAAAAAAAAAAAAUUCCAAAUUUGCAAAGCUUAAAGUUAAAAAGCGGGGGGGGGGGGGGGGGGGGGAUCCUAAACUUUUAAUUUCUCCACAUUAUUUUCAUGAACUUUUACUUGGCAAUGCUAUUAAGCCAUGGAAAUAUAUCUCCAACUCAUAAAUUGCACAUGACUUUUAAGGGGUAAAUAUGUAUAUUCAUCUAAUUUUAUGCCCCAGUGGCCACCCUUCCAACUUGGAAGGGGGAGGUGAGGGGUUCAAAUCCCCACCUUCUCAGGGGGGGAUGGAGGGUAGGGACGCGUAAGUUUCGAGAGUGGGUUGCGACUCCCACGCCCUGCAAGAGGUAGGGCACAAGUCUGCGAGUGAGUGUAGAGUAGGCAUAGAGUAGGACUGACAAAAAAAAAACUUGAUUUCUGUGAAAAAAAAUUGAAAAAUUAACAAAAAUGGAGAAACAAUUGAUAAAAAUAGUAAGAUCAAAAUAUUAAAAAUCAAAUAUAAUAUUAGAAAUUAUAAAUUGAUGAAAAUGUUAAUAGAAUUGAUAAGAUAUUUUAAGAAAAAGAAACGUGACUAUGUAAAAAUAAAAAAUAAAGGCCUAAUUACAAAAAAAAAAAUUAAAUGACAAAAACUCGAGCUGAAAAUGUAGUCUUCCUUAUCUAGAACCCUCGCCGGUGGACAUAACGAUUAAAACAGACUUCCCUUUGAUGCAAAUUCCAAGGCCCCACUCUCAGAAUUUAAGGAUUUCGCCAUUGAGAUCUAUCCAAAUCCAAUGCAGAGGCAGUGGGCUAUGUCUGCAGUCGCUAGUGAAGUGGUUUGGUUAAGUAGACUUGUAUCUGAUCUAGGGAUUCAUCUCACCUGCAAGGCCUCUUCAUGUUGACAAUAAUAGCCCUAUUCAAAUUGCAACCAACCCUAUAAUUAACUUGAAUUUUCGGUUGUACUACCAAAUCAGCCUAUUCCCCCAAAUAAAUAAAUAAAUAAAUAAAUGAAGUUACAUCAUUAUCCAGUAGUUAUGGCCACCCAAAAAAUAACACAUCCCCAAGCUAAAAUCCUCCGCCUACUAUUUUUUCCAUAAUUAUGGCGGCUAUCGCCAUUAUCUCCCCUUGACUAAAGCACAACAUCCCAUCUUGUUUUCUUUGUGGCCCCCACCCACUUGCCCUGUCGGAGUUACCACGUUCGGAUGCGCAAUCUUCCCGCUCGUAAUUCGGACGUUAUCCUUUCUUGUCCAAAAUAAAAAUAAAAAAUUCGGACGUUAUCCUUAUUUUAGCCGUGUUUGAUGUUCAUCUUGGGUCGUACCAUGCAUCCGUAUAACCCCGGUAAUUGACAAAGAUCUGGCCUUUCGUGAGAACCCACGACUGCCUAUCAAUGCGGACCACGGGAGAAGCGAGGGAAAGUUCCCCGAAAAGCGCCCUCCUUUAUCGAAUCUCGCCAACGAACCCCGUGCGAGAAAUGGCAACGAGCCAGCGCGAAUGAUCUCCCUUGCCUUUCUCUGUUCCCCCACGCGGUUUCCCACCUUCGCAUGUCGUGAGCUCGAAGCUUUUCGUGCUGUUCGUAACAGAAAUCCCUCUCGCCUUCAGUCAACGUCUCUGGUUUUUGAUCAGACGGCGAAAGCAGCGCGUUCGCUUGGUGGGUUGCGUUAGCGGAGCGAAUCUUGAACUU